Molecule: long non-coding RNA, 165 nt
Organism: Phyllostomus discolor (pale spear-nosed bat)
Lineage: Eukaryota; Metazoa; Chordata; Mammalia; Chiroptera; Phyllostomidae
Exons: 3
Source: RefSeq, a predicted model, not a curated record
GUGAUUCAUAAGUGAAUCUUAAAGAUGGUGGCAUAGGGAAACACAGCUUGUCUCCUUGCACAACCACAUAAAAAUUUGAACUAAAUUAUAGAAAAACCAUCACUCAAAACCAUUGGAAAUUGAGUUGAAGGGAAGUCCAGAAACUGUGGAAUUAGAGAACCACAU